Nothoprocta perdicaria is the source of this 258-nucleotide long non-coding RNA. RefSeq lists it as uncharacterized. The record is from RefSeq and is a predicted model, not a curated record. Lineage: Eukaryota; Metazoa; Chordata; Aves; Tinamiformes; Tinamidae. The transcript is spliced from 3 exons.
GAUGCCUGGGACGGGGGCUGCUCUCAGCAAAAUGAAUUUCACUUCCCUCCGUAUUUGCUGGCCAGUGGGCUCCKCAGUGACCCAAGGGGUGAAGGUUCACUCUGGAGGAGCCAGUGUUUUGGAGCGCUUUUCUGGCUCAGCGUUUUGGAAGYUACCAUGCUCUAAUGGCCUGCAACGAGGCCAGAAACUUCUCACCUACGGAUGUUGCCUCAUGGACAGGUGUGCCCAUGUACAGGUGUGGGAUUGGUGACCUCCUCA